CGAAUUAUAACAUAUGAUAUUACAUCAUCCUCCUCUCUCUACUUACCAGUCCAUGACGGUUCUACACAGUUUCAUUCUCUCUUUCUCUCUCUAGGUAUAUGGGUUUAUCUAUAAAGUUAGCAACAUUGCAUCACAAGGCUCUUGUAGGUUUUUCACCGUUUCCUUCAUACCCUUUUCAUGAACAGCUGAUCUGAGAUAUCUCAGACAGCUAGCUAGUUAGAUUUUAGAGAGAGAGAGAGAGAGAUGCCGCCGGGAUGGGGACCGCCACCAGGACCGGGAGGACCUCCUCCUUUUGGUUGUUUUGAUUUUCUCUGUGGUGGAAUAUGCAGACUCAUAUCUUCAUGUUUUUAUGUGCUGUGUUGUUGCUGCAUCUUUCAAGAGUGCUGCGGGCCAUUUUUUGGUGGACCGGGUGGACCAGGCGGUCCACCUGGACCACCUCCUUUUUGAAGGUUGAACCAUUGAUAUUUUCAUAUAAUGUGGCUUAGGCUCAAUAUUAUGUUUCCCUAAUUUCUCUACUGUUCGUUCUCUAUCAUGUCUGUUUCAUCAGUACUAUAUAAGAUUACUGCUAGCUAGCUAUGUAUAUGUAUGGAUUAUUAUGGAACUGAAAUAAUUUGUGUACCAUUUCUGAUUUCUUA
This is a long non-coding RNA of Macadamia integrifolia, 635 nucleotides long. RefSeq lists it as uncharacterized. The record is from RefSeq and is a predicted model, not a curated record. The transcript has 2 exons. Lineage: Eukaryota; Viridiplantae; Streptophyta; Magnoliopsida; Proteales; Proteaceae.